RNAcentral lists this ribosomal RNA (253 nucleotides) under uncultured bacterium. RNAcentral's name for it is "partial 16S ribosomal RNA". It matches the Rfam family "Bacterial small subunit ribosomal RNA", at positions 524 to 776 of the family's 1533-position model. The record is from RNAcentral.
UACAGAGGGUGCGAGCGUUAAUCGGAAUUACUGGGCGUAAAGCGUGCGUAGACGGCUAUCUAAGUCGGGUGUGAAAGCCCCGGGCUCAACCUGGGAAUUGCAUUCGAGACUGAAUAGCUAGGGUACGGUAGAGGGAAGCGGAAUUUCCGGUGUAGCGGUGAAAUGCGUAGAUAUCGGAAGGAACAUCAGUGGCGAUAGCGGCUUCCUGGACCAGUACCGACGUUCAGGCACGAAAGCGUGGGGAGCAAGCAGG